This is a non-coding RNA of Delphinapterus leucas (beluga whale), 1035 nucleotides long. NCBI's taxonomy places the organism in Eukaryota, Metazoa, Chordata, Mammalia, Artiodactyla, Monodontidae. The record is from RefSeq and is a predicted model, not a curated record.
CAUCGGAGCUGGGGAGCUUGCUGAAUGUCAUCACCAGCAAGAGUGAGGAGUAUUGGCAGCAGCAGGCAGGCGGGCAGGCUGGGAGUUUGCAUGGAAAUCAAGAAGUCUUGUCUUUCUCUUUUCAAAUGUUUUGGAAGGACAGUUAAGAAUAGCUCAGAAACUGGUCCCGUUCUUUUUGUGGGGAGAAUGACCAGAAGCAUAGAAGCUAAGUCUUCCAGCAAGUACAAGAUACCUCUUUCGGUGUUUGCAGUAAACCUAACAGAAUGACUGGCUGUCUGUAAAGGACUGUGCCAUGACACCUCAAAUGAAGGGAAUGGUAAAGCAAAGUAAUGACUCAAAGGCUACCACGGAGCUUCUACCUUUAACUCAUUGUGGCAAAGUUGGACAUUCCAAAGAUGGCGUAAAUGAACAUGACCAGAAAGAGCAGGAGGCCGAUGUUAAACAACGCAGGAAGGGACAUCAUCAAAGCAAAGAGCAGCGUGCGGAUCCCCUUGGCCCCUUUGAUCAGACGCAGGAUUCGGCCAAUCCUGGCAAGACGGAUCACUCGGAACAGGGUAACCUGUGUAAAAGUGGUCACAUAUGUCUGUGCCUGGUUAAAAGCACAGAGCUGCAUCCUUGAUGGAUCCAGUUUGUUUUUACCCCUGUGAGAAGUAAGAAGGUCAGGUACUGAAGUCUGUAAAUGCAGCAUGAUGGAACAGUUUAAUCAACAGAUUUGAAAUGUUUAAAGACAUAUACCUACAACCUCCUGGGAUACCUGAUGAAGAGUCUGAUGCUAGGUAGACCAACUAAACCAAACCAACAUGGUGGCUUUGAAAAUUGAAUUGAGUCAUUGAAGAGCAUCUUAUCCCAAUUAUCUCCUGCCUCUAAGCUUGAAAAUUCCUACCAACAGGUUUCCAAUGACCAUGACCAUCAUGUAAACAAUAAGGCACAUGGCUUGACCGGCGACCUCCAUGCAGUCCCACAUGGUCUCUAUCCACUCUCCACAAAGCACUCGGAACACAAUCAGGAAGGAGUGGAAGAAGUCAUUCAUGUGCC